This is a long non-coding RNA of Dermochelys coriacea (leatherback sea turtle), 1959 nucleotides long. RefSeq lists it as uncharacterized. The record is from RefSeq and is a predicted model, not a curated record. Lineage: Eukaryota; Metazoa; Chordata; Testudines; Dermochelyidae. The transcript is spliced from 3 exons.
AAGCUUUUGUUCUUCAAAGCUAGAAAUAGACAGGGGGACCGGUUUGAAGACAUUUUCUUCAGACUUCAUUGAGAAAUUCCAAGUUGAGAGAAGCAGGGAUGUGAAUAGAGUCCAUGGUUAUGGAGGAUGGACUGAAUGGAAACACAACUGGGAACAUAUAUUUGUAGUCUAACAGCAGCUGUGGUGGGUCAUUUCGCUCUUGCAAAUUUGCCUAUGAGGUUUGUGUGGAAAAAAUAAAAGUGAUCUUGCUUCAAGCAGUGAAUAGACCUUGCCCCCGGAGAUGCAUCCAUGAUGCUGUAUAAGUAGCCAGGAAUUUUGCAGCAGAGCAACACAAGUUGUAAAUUCCCACAAAGUGAUGGAAAGUGCUGCCCAAUCAACUCCAGGAGUGAGAGUGUGGACCUGGACACUGAAUAUGACUCUUGAGUAGCAGCACAGACUACCAGCAACAUGUUUGUCCUUUUAUCUAGUACACCAUCAGGACUGAGAAGAAUGUUAAACAUUAGCUACUAUUUUCCUGCUUUCUCUUUUUGACAUUCAAGAUACCAUAGCACUCUUCACAAGAGCAGGGAAUUUUCCCUAUUCACCAGGUAAAAAUUUCCCUGCUCUCCACUAACGUGCUGUAUGCUGGGUGGCAGUCUUCCAUCUCAGAAGUGGUUGCAUUUCAGUGAUGUCCUACAUUCCUGUAUCCUACUAGCCUUACUUGCAGGACUAGUCCCAUUGAGAAAAUGAGCACUUGAGCGCUCAGAUACUAUAUUGAUAACUAGAACUGAGCAAUUUUUUUUUUUUGGUGAACAGUAAACCAAAAUAUUGCAAAUUUGACAUGAAAUUACUGAAUAGUUUCAGCCAAAAUCUUUGUUUUCAGGACUGAGAUGCCAUUCACAAAAUGGCUGGAGGCUAAGACAAUGGUAGUGCCUGCCUUGUACAUUUUAGCCCAGUGCACUCACUUAAGAUAUGGAAUAGGAGCCAGGUUCAAUUGCCCCCCUCUAUCUGAUCUGAAGAAGGGAUUUAAACUUUGAUCUCACAGCAGAAAAGUUCCCUUACCUCUGGGGCUAUUGGGUAGUCUGGAGUGGGUCUUUCUCAGUCUCUCCCAUUGAAGUGGUUCCACUUUGUAUAAAUAAUUCAUUAGUCAUUGGAGGUUGGGACAAAGAGAGUGAGAAUGACAAUGCAGCCAAGUGGUUAGGGCACUCUUCUGCCAUGUGGGGCACCCAAGUUAAAAUCACUUCUCCAUAUCAGGAUUAGGAGGGAACUGAAUGUCUCUCUCCCACAUCCCAGGACAGAGCCCUAACCACUAGGUUAAUGCUUCUAAGGGAGAUGGCACCAUUACCCCAACUUUCCUCCUUUUAAGUAUAUCUGGAAACAAAAUGUUUCCUUCAACCUAAAGCAAACUUUUUCAAUUCACCAAAGUUUUUCGGAGUUUCCAAAUUGGAGCAGACCCACAUUUAUUUUGUUGUUUUUUUGGAACUGCCAGUGACCUGAUAAAUAAUUAUUUGCCCAACUCUACUGAUAAGAGCCACAAAUACCUACAUAGAAGUGAACAGAGCUCAGGUUAUAAUUUAUUAAAUGAAUUGGAAUCCUUUAUAAUGAAGGGUUCUACGGGCAUGUAAAGAAUUAUUACUCAUUUUUAUCAUUACUGUAUAUUAAAGCAGAAUAAAAAUGCUUUCUGGCUUUGGAGGUUCCUCGUAUCUUUUCAAGUUCAUAAAAUAUGUAAAUUCAAAGAAAACACAGUUGAGUGCAUCUUGUAUCACACGCUGAUUUAAGCGUCAUUUUCUUCUGUUCUUUUGCUAUUGUACACUGUGGAACAUUUGAUUUAUCAGAAAUGAAUUGUGAGAAACUGAACUCAAAAUUGGAUAAUACAAUUUUUAUAGCAUAUCUGACUAGAAAGUGGAAAUCUUAUCAGAGAAAGCAGCAUGAUGGGGCAAGAGCAGCUAUUUUGCGUAAAUGUGUUUUUACCCAGAACAU